AAAGAAUGCGUACAAGGGAGAUAUGGAACCAACUGCAUCUCCCUCUGUGGUAACUGCAAGGAUGGACAAAGGUGUAACCGCACGACCGGCCAUUGUCAAAACGGAUGUCAAGUAGGAUAUGAAAAACCUUUCUGCUCUCAGGGGUGUUUCAACAAGACCUACGGUCAGGAUUGCAGUUCGUCCUGUGGUAGAUGUCUAAACUGGACAUGCAGUAACACAGACGGGACUUGUGUACAUGGAUGUGAGCCGGGAUUUGAGGGGGAUCUGUGCGUGACAGAAGCACAUACGGGCAACAAGGAAGGCGGCGCUCAGUCGUUGACUGGACUUAUUGUCGGUGUCGUUGUAGGGGUGCUUUCAGCUGCCGUCGUUGUCGCUGUGCUGUUUUAUAUACGACG
Molecule: long non-coding RNA, 395 nt
Organism: Haliotis rubra (blacklip abalone)
Lineage: Eukaryota; Metazoa; Mollusca; Gastropoda; Lepetellida; Haliotidae
Exons: 3
Source: RefSeq, a predicted model, not a curated record